This 391-nucleotide long non-coding RNA is filed under the name Mytilus galloprovincialis (Mediterranean mussel). The record is from RNAcentral. Lineage: Eukaryota; Metazoa; Mollusca; Bivalvia; Mytilida; Mytilidae.
GGUGGAAUAACUUUAUAAAGCAUACCAUUGGUGGCAUUCAGCUGUUGUCUGCUCUUUGGUCGGGUUGUUGUCUUUUAUACACAUUUCCCAUUUCCAUUCUCAAUUUUUUUUGUAUAAAAAAGAAACAUAAUAAUAUUAAUGCUCGAAUUCUUCAUUGACGACAUUAGUGUUUCGUUGCGAUGGCGUGUUUGUUGUUUACUUUACUAUUUUUUCUUAUUACUUUUUAUUUCCCACUUGGCAUAUUGUUUCAAGCUGAAACUGUUUUGUUAUUAAAACUUAUAAUUUAAGAGUAAGUUAGUAUUGAACUAGAAGAAUAAUCUCUGUUAGGUGAAAAAAAAUAAAAAAUUUUUUUAGGUUGAUGUAUUUUCAAGUUCCAUUUAUUCAGUUAUCU